Molecule: ribosomal RNA, 484 nt
Filed under: uncultured bacterium
Lineage: Bacteria
Description: partial 16S ribosomal RNA
Rfam family: Bacterial small subunit ribosomal RNA
Source: RNAcentral
AUUGAACGCUGGCGGCAGGCCUAACACAUGCAAGUCGAGCGGAUGAAGGGAGCUUGCUCCUGGAUUCAGCGGCGGACGGGUGAGUAAUGCCUAGGAAUCUGCCUGGUAGUGGGGGAUAACGUCCGGAAACGGGCGCUAAUACCGCAUACGUCCGGAGGGAGAAAGUGGGGGAUCUUCGGACCUCACGCUAUCAGAUGAGCCUAGGUCGGAUUAGCUAGUUGGUGGGGUAAAGGCCUACCAAGGCGACGAUCCGUAACUGGUCUGAGAGGAUGAUCAGUCACACUGGAACUGAGACACGGUCCAGACUCCUACGGGAGGCAGCAGUGGGGAAUAUUGGACAAUGGGCGAAAGCCUGAUCCAGCCAUGCCGCGUGUGUGAAGAAGGUCUUCGGAUUGUAAAGCACUUUAAGUUGGGAGGAAGGGCAGUAAGUUAAUACCUUGCUGUUUUGACGUUACCAACAGAAUAAGCACCGACUAACUUCGUG